GUUUUGUCCAGAGCUGGGGCACAAUGUAUAAAGGUUGCCUUCUGGCCAGGCAGAGCAGAAGUUACCGAAAAGAAAGUGCCCGCCAGGACCGAGGUUAACUUCAGUUCUGCAGGGGGAUAUCUUGGCCAGCUCCAGGAGAGCGCCCCGACCCCAGAAGGAGGCAGUGAACGUGCCCCGGGACGGCGCAGUCCGUUGUUGUCCCGGCAACGCACCCCGGUCGCGAGCGCAUGCGAGUGCGAGCCCGUUCCCCAUCUGAUGCACGCCACCCCCAGCUCGAUCCGGAAGGUUCUCCCUCGUCCCCCUCACCUCGGGCGCCUGCCCGGGCGACGCUCGUACACAACGGUCACUACCUGGUCGGGGCGCGCGCCGGCCGCUGGAGCGUGCGGACACGACGGGGAGGAGUCACAGGCGUCGCGAGCGCGCAGGGACCUCCCCGGCUCCAGAUAUGGCGGACUGCAAGUCCGAGUGGCUCCGGCUGCCGGGGUCCUGGUCUCAUGGUGUUACCCGGGACGGGCGCGUCUUCUUCAUCGAUGAGGAAGCACAGCGAACAACCUGGCUGCAUCCAGCGACAGGCGAGGCCGUCAUCAGCGGGCACCGCAAGACGGCAGAUCUACCAACCGGUUGGGAAGAAGGAUACACCUUCGAAGGGGCGAGGUAUUACAUUAAUCACAAUGAAUGGAAGGUAACUUGCAAACAUCCAGUUACAGGACAUACAUCGCAAGAAAACUGUAUAUUUGUCAUGAAUGACGAUUUCAGAACUGCUGCAGCAAUACCGUCACAAGACAAAAAAGAUCGACCAGUGAGCUUGGUCAGCGAAGUUUCUACAUAUACCAUGGCAUCCGAAAUGGCUCUGCUUCCAACUAGUCCUGUUUGCCGAUCAUCAAGACCUUCAAAGAAAAUCCACAACUUUGGGAAAAGAUCGAAUUCCAUUAAGAGAAAUGCAAAUGCACCAGUUAUAAAACAUGGCUGGCUUUACAAACAGGACAGUACUGGUAUGAAGCUCUGGAAAAAACGUUGGUUUGUACUUGCUGAUCUCUGCCUGUUCUAUUAUAGAGUCACAAUUCAUUCUCCCUCCCUAAACUGCUCUUCAGAAGGUGAUGGUGAGCUACCCUUAAGAACCAAUACAAUGCUAUUGGGGUAGGUGUCCGACAGUAGUUUUGAAUAAUGAAUUUAAGAACUUAUUUCCAAGUGAGCAUGGUAUGUAACUUGGAGGGAAACCUGCAAGACGGCAGUUCCACUAUGUUCCCUGGCCUUUACUUUCUUUGUGGUUGAGUCCCAUCAAAGCAGCUUUGGUAAAUUCAACUGACAUUCAUUUUGCAUGUGACACAUAUGUGUGCUGGUGGUGAAAAGAAUGCUAGUUUAGACUGAUUAAUAGGAUACUAAUCCAACAGGCAGCUUUGCCCUGGUUGGUGUUGAUCCUCCUGAUGGUUGUUGAAGCUCCACACAUCCAAGCAGGUGGAAAGCAUACUUGUGCAUUACAGACAUCCCACCCUGCAAAAACUCAUUUCAGGGAGGUAGAACCACCAGCCCCACCCCCCGCAACCCCAUAUCCCCCCCCCCCCCGCGGUCAACCUCCAAGGGUGUAUGUAUACAGAACAUUUGAUUAUAAAGGAACACAACAAUUUAUUUGAUCAUAUAUUGAAACUAUUUACACACAUACAUGCAUACACAUUCCUUGUUGAGUAUUUUGUUGGCAGUCUCAAUGCUAAUAGCUAAAUGCUAAUGCAACUAGCUUUGCUAUUUUUCAAACUUUCCUUGUAUUGUGAUGUGGCUUGCUUGGCAGAUUUGAGCAUUUUGCCGGAAGUCUCAACCACAUAGCAGUCUGUGUCAAUGAAUUUGUUAAUUUUGCAAGAGAUCAAAUUCACAAGUGUUUUGUGAGACAGCUGACUUCUGAAUUCUGUCUUAAUGUGACGCACCAUGCUGAAUGCCCUUUCUACAUCACAAUUAGAAUUUGACAGCACCAAGAGCAUCUUCAUCAACUAGCAGAGCUCUUUGAAUCUCAACUGACACUAAACUGAACUGAUGGACAGUGAAAGAGAGCGAGAGGUUAACUGUAAAGCCCGCCCACAGAGGAAACUGAUAGGUCUACUUAGCACAAAGAGAGACUAAUCAGGAUGCUCUCUCUGUCACUCCCUCUCUCCCUCUCUCCCACUCUCUCACACUCACUCAAAAAAAAAUCGAUUUCUGGGAUAUUGUAUAUAAUUUAGUGGCGUCAGGGAGCCACUAUCAAUAUGCGGGAGACUCCUGAAACUUCCAGGAGAGGUGGGAUGUCAGGCAUUGUAGAUAAUGGAAUCGCCUUGGGAUGUCAGGGUGUGUGAUACCUAACACAGAUACCCAGAUUUUGUCUUGCUCUUGUAGGCACGAUAUUCAAGUGGCUGAUUCAUUUGAGCUUUUGUUCAUCGGUAGGAGGUUUGGUUCUUUCCUGUGGGAAAACUCAUUGCAUGGUGAUUCUGUGCUGUGAAGUUGUCUGAUGCCUGUCAGUUUAUGCCUGAAUGUUGUCAGGGGCUUGUUGAAUUCAGGCAUUGCCUGCUUCAUUUGCUGAAAAAUUGUGAAAACAUUGAACAUGGUACAGACAUCAGUGAAGACCCAACUUUUAAUGAUGGAAGGAAGGAUAUUGAUGAAGCAGUUGAAAAUGGUUGCGCCUAUGUUACUAUUCUGCGGAAUUCCUGCAGUGAUACAGUAUCCUGGGAUGGAGGUGAUUAUCUUCCAAUGACCACAGCCAUCUUUUAAGUGAAGUGUAACUCCAACCAAGGAGUAUUUUUACUUUGAUCUCAUUGAUUUCAGUACCAGGAAACCCUUAAUGUGGUCAAGUGCUACCUUACUCUUCAGUUCUGGAAGUCAGCUCUCUUUGUCCAUGUUUAGACUAAAGUUGAAAUGAGGAGUCUGGAGUUGAGUGCUCCUGGAGAAAAGGAAAUUAUUCCUUGUUUACUAGUUACAGUAAGUGCUGCAUAAAAGCACUGCCAAUAACAGCUUCCGUCAUGCUGAUGAUGAUUUGUGGUAGAACAUACCUCAGCAAUCUUCCACAUUGCUGAAUACAUUCUAGUGCUGUAACUGUGUACUGGGCCAGUCAGGCUAGAGGUGCAACUAAUUCUAGAAUGCAGAAUUAUAGCUGGAAUGUUGUCUCAUCCUGCCUCCUUUUUUUUGUGCCAGUGCUCUCAGCUGUUUCAUGAAAUGAAUCAAAUUGUCUGGAGUGAUAGUGCCGAGCUGCAAUGGUCACUUAUACCAGUGGUACCUGCCACAGACAGACUGGGGAAGAAAAUGUCAUUAGUUCUUUACUCAUGUUUUCUACCACAGACCCUGUCUGGCAGCCAUGUUUUCAGAUGUUGGCCAGCUAGGCUAGUGAUGGUAUAGCUAAACUACUCUAGGUAAUGGAUAAUUGAAAGUAAAUUUUAAUUGAAGGAAUUAACUGGUAAGACUAUUAUAUAUAUUCAUUAUUUGUUUCAAUAAUGCCACAACUAAAUGCAAGUUUAUUAGAGUAAACAAAGUGUGAAAUUAGAUUUGGGCUCAACAGUUCAAGCAGUUGAUUACAAAAACAUAGGAACAGGAAUUCAGAUUAAGCAUACUUGAGCAUUCUUUUUCUCAAUAUAAUUUUUUGUUUGCAUGUUAUCUGCAGUUCAUUCAUUUGAUACCUUAUCCAUUAAAAACAUUAUUUUGUUAUAAAUUUAACCUACAGUAAAAAACAUCUAGAUAGCCCAAUUUUUAAAGAUGAUAAUUCCAAAUUUACAGUGUUUUUUAUGUGAAACAAAUGCUUCCUACCUUUUAAAUAGUCUAACGCUAAUUUUAAAGGUACAUGCCACAUUCUGAUUUCCCCUUCCAGAGAAAAUUGCUUCUCUAUCUAUUCAAUCAAACCAUGUUAAGCAUUUCUCAGUCUGGUGAUUUUAAUGUGAUCAGUGUCCCACUCAAAAUCCAUUUUUUUAAUAGACCUCCAAUUAUUCAAAAUCUUGUUCUCUAUUCACAGGAUUUGGGUAUAAUUGGCAAGCCAAGUAUGUAAUAUGUGCCCUUGCUUACUCUUGAGAUGGUAAAGUUGAGCCACUUUGAACUACUGUAAUCUAUCCCAUAAUACAGUUGAGUAGGGUGUUCCUGGAAUUUGAGGAACAGUGAUAUACUGUAUAUUUAAGUCAGUUGGAUAACUUGCUCCACAGUCCUUGGUGAAAUAGGGUUGGAUAGUGCCCUCAAGGAAAUCUUAUUGUCCUAUAUAUUUUGUUGAUGAAGCAGGCUGAAGCCUCCAUGUAUCAAGGUUAGAAGAAUAGCAGCAUUACUCUGGAUGGUGUUGAACAACUUCGGUACUGUUAACAUUACAUUUACACCAGAAGUUUUUCACAAAGCAGAACAGACUUGUUGGGCCAAGUAGCCCAGUUCUGCUUCUAUGUCUUAUGGUCAAAUGCUCCUCUUUUGUGUUGUUUCUUUCUGAAGGUGACCUAGCAUUUCUCCUUGUGAUAUUUCAUUCACUUAGCCCACCUGCAUCUCCUUGCAAUUUGACUGUAUCUCCAUCACUUUGGUGAUCAUUGUGAGAAGACAUUGAGACAGUAAUUUCCCAGAAUGGAUUUGUUCUACUUAAUGUGAUCAGGGUCAGGCUUGCACAUGUCUUGUUGUGUGCAAUCCAGUGCUUUGCUUAAUAUUAUGCAUUGACCUAGUUUUACAAUCAUGUUCAGAUUCUGUACCAGCUGACUGCUUUGUUCUUUCAGGAGAGAAGUUAGAACAUCAACAACACUGUGGUGCUGGAAUUAUGUUUUGGCUGGACCAGGUUAUAAACUGAGAAUUUCCUUCCCUCACAGAUAACUCUACUGAACUAGAUGGAAUUGAUUCAUGAAAUUUAAAUUAAUUGAACCUACCUCCUUAAGUUUACUUGUAGUUGUGUCUCUGGAUUAGAAUAGAAGAUGAUGGAAAUGUCUUCAGCAUUUUUUGAUUAUAUUUCAUAUUUACAGCAUCAGUGCUUCAUUCUUGAAUUCUGUCUCUGGGUCGUUAAGAAAAGUAUCUACAGGUUAAAUCCAGGAAUUCAGUCACUUAGCCAUUGUCCCACAUAAGGUCUUUCACAUCUGUCAAGUCUUCUGACUGGUAUACAUUUUGGCUAAUUUAUUAAUCAAAUCAUUGUGCUCAAGUAUUUCCCCCAAUCUUCCCAGCUGACUCUGUAAUCUCCUGCAACCUUCCCACAUCCUGAAGUCUUCUCUGAAUUCACUUUGCGUUUUGCCCAUUAUUGGCAAAAAUCCUUUGGUCACCUAGAAUUCUUUCCCUAAAUUUCUCCUCUUUCCUACCCCACACCAUUUCCCCAUCUCUCUAUAGCUUAAAUGUCCUACUUGAGAUUAAUUUUCACGGAGUUUCUAACUAUGCCUAUAAGAAUGACUUUUGGAUGCUGUUGUUAUUUUUACAUGCAUGCCGAAGAGAGUUAUUUUUUUCUUCAUUCCUGGCAGAUGAAAAGGAAGAAGGCAUUUUAGGAAGCAUUCUUCUUCCUAGUUUUAAGAUAACUCCAGUUAUGCCUGAAGAUCAUAUUAACCGAAAAUAUGCAUUUAAGGCUGCCCAUUCAAACAUGCGAACCUAUUAUUUCUACACGGAAACAGCA
RNA transcript from Hypanus sabinus (Atlantic stingray), 5557 nucleotides. It is a transcript of the gene named pleckstrin homology domain containing, family A member 5, with no coding region annotated. The record is from RefSeq and is a predicted model, not a curated record. The transcript is spliced from 9 exons. NCBI's taxonomy places the organism in Eukaryota, Metazoa, Chordata, Chondrichthyes, Myliobatiformes, Dasyatidae.